This 448-nucleotide ribosomal RNA is filed under the name uncultured bacterium. RNAcentral describes it as "bacterial SSU rRNA". It matches the Rfam family "Bacterial small subunit ribosomal RNA", at positions 329 to 794 of the family's 1533-position model. The record is from RNAcentral.
UUCCCGACUCCUACGGGAGGCAGCAGUGGGGAAUAUUGCGCAAUGGGCGAAAGCCUGACGCAGCGACGCCGCGUGAGGGAUGAAGGUUUUCGGAUCGUAAACCUCUGUCAGAAGGGAAGAGAAUGACGGUACCUGACUAAGAAGCCCCGGCUAACUACGUGCCAGCAGCCGCGGUAAUACGUAGGGGGCAAGCGUUAUCCGGAUUUACUGGGUGUAAAGGGGGCGCAGACGGCGAUGCAAGCCAGGAGUGAAAGCCCGGGGCCCAACCCCGGGACUGCUCUUGGAACUGCGUGGCUGGAGUGCAGGAGGGGCAGGCGGAAUUCCUGGUGUAGCGGUGAAAUGCGUAGAUAUCAGGAGGAACACCGGUGGCGAAGGCGGCCUGCUGGACUGCAACUGACGUUGAGGCCCGAAAGCGUGGGGAGCAAACAGGAUUAGAUACCCCAGUAAA